Molecule: long non-coding RNA, 1005 nt
Filed under: Salmo salar (Atlantic salmon)
Lineage: Eukaryota; Metazoa; Chordata; Actinopteri; Salmoniformes; Salmonidae
Description: lncRNA (ENSSSAG00000116255.1)
Source: RNAcentral
UCUCUCUCUCUCUCUCUCUCUCUCUCGCUCCCUCUCUCUCCCUGUUCUCUCUCUCUCCCUGUUCUCUCUCUCUCCCUGUUCUCGCUCUCUCUCUUUAUCUAUCUCUCUUUAUCUCUCUCUCUCUCUCUUUAUCCUUCUCUUCUUCACAUACUGUUGCUCUCUGCUGACCAAAGUACUUUCAUAGUCCUAACCUACCCUCCGCCCUAGGACCAUGCCUCAGGACUACCUGACAUGAUGACUCCUUGCUGUCCCCAGUCCACCUGGCCGUGCUGCUGCUCCAGUUUCAACUGUUCUGCCUGCGGCUAUGGAACCCUGACCUGUUCACCGGACGUGCUACCUGUCCCAGACCUGCUGUCCUAGACCUGCUGGAACCCUGACCUGUUCACCGGACGUGCUACCUGUCCCAGACCUGCUGUUUUCAACUCUCUAGAGACAGCAGGAGCGGUAGAGAUACUCUCAAAGAUCGGCUAUGAAAAAGCCAACUGACACUUAUUCUUGUGUUACUGACUUGUUUCACCCUCGACAACUACUAUGAUUAUUAUUAUUUGACCAUGCUGGUCAUUUAUGAACAUUUGAACAUCUUGGCCAUGUGCUGUUAUAAUCUCCACCCGGCACAGCCAGAAGAGGACUAGCCACCCCUCAUAGCCUGGUUCCUCUCUAGGUUUCUUCCUUGGUUUUGGCCUUUCUAGGGAGUUUUUCCUAGCCACCGUGCUUCUACACCUGCAUUGCUUGCUGUUUGGGGUUUUAGGCUGGGUUUCUGUACAGCACUUUGAGAUAUCAGCUGAUGUAAGAAGGGCUAUAUAAAUACAUUUGAUUUUGAAAUUUGAUUUGAUAACAGCAGAGCAAUGUUUUUAAAACAGCUAAAAUGUAUAGACAUUUUCAUUAUAUUUGUUUUUAUUUAGUUUUCACCUGGAAUUUUAGUAACAGUCUGUUACAUUCUGAAACUGUCGCUGUAGCUUUGAGAACAUGUUUGUGUACUUGAUUGACAUUUUACUGCAUUGUUAG